This 7224-nucleotide long non-coding RNA is filed under the name Vitis vinifera (wine grape). RNAcentral's name for it is "long non-coding RNA (VVIN_LNC007109)". The record is from RNAcentral. Lineage: Eukaryota; Viridiplantae; Streptophyta; Magnoliopsida; Vitales; Vitaceae.
AAAAUCAUGGUAUAAAAUGUGAACCAACCAAAAGGCUUUAUCCAAUUCUUGUGGCCAUGCAAAGCCCUUGUCUUUCUCUAGCCGGAGACUUACUUGCAAGGCGACGGAAGUGUCGGUGGCGGAGGAGCCGUCGGCUGCGGGGGAUGGCGAGAACUGGGUGCCAGUGGUGCCGCUGUCGGCAUUGCCCAAGGGGGAGCGGCGCGUGAUUAUACAGGACGGAGAGACGAUUCUGUUGUUGUGAUUAUACACGAAAUUUAUGUGAAGAAUGAAAGGCUCUUUUGAGGCUCAUGCAAGCCAUGUAAGAAUUUCAUGUGGCCUAGUGUAUAUUAUUAUGUGAUAUUCAUUUAAAUAUCAAAUUAAAAAUUAUGGUCAAAUAAAUAAUAAAACUACCAGAAGUUAAUUUCCUAAAUUAAAGGUACUUUAAUGGAAAGCGUACGCCUUAUCUGAUCUUCUCUUCACCCUGUAAAAUAAAUGUUCUAUUUGAUCAAAUACACAUAAGAAAAAACCUAAGAGUAGAAGGGUUAAGAAAGAACAACACGGUUUCUACUUUGCUUAUUGUUUGAUCUCUUUAAGACUUCUAUAUGGAUUAAAAGUAUGUCUUUUCUCAAUAAUGGAAUUGUGAAAAUCAUAUUAUUCUAAAAUCCUUGACUAUUUUGAUUCAAACAAAAUUAGGAUUUGAUUUGCAUAAUUAAAUAAUUACUUAUGAGUUUCAUUGGUGAGCAUAUAAUACCACUGACAUAUGUUGAUUAAGUGACAUGAAUACUUUUGAUGUUAUUGUGAUGAAAUUUAUGAUAAUAAAAGUUUAUUUUAUCAAUUUUCAAUAUGUUAUAUACAAUGUAUGUUUAUGGCUAAUAUAUAAAGUGAAUGACUUUCUCGAUUUUUGAAUUGAUUUAUGCAUCAACCACUUUUGAUUGAACCAUAAGUAUGAUUUUGUUCAUGGUAUUACAUCUUUAUCAUCAAAAUAGAUAUAUAUCUAUAUGUAUGUGAAAUAGAUUAUGAAAAUACUAGAAGAGUAAACAUAUUGAAAGGAAGUACCACCUAAUUCAUAAAUAGUACAAAAAGGUGAUAUGCCAAUUGAGAAGAUACCUUUUGUAAAGAACCUAAUAGAUUCUUAUACUAAAACACUUAUAGGAAAAGUCUUUGAUUGUAACGGGGACAAUAUAGGUGUCAAAUAUGCACCUAAUUUACUUUUAUAGCAUUAUGUUUUGAGGGCUAAUGGAAGAUUGUUAGGAUAUCAUCCUACAAAGCAUUACAUGAUAUAAUUAGAAAUUUGGAUUUAUCAUUUAUUUAAUUAUAUUCUAAUUGCUCUUUUAUCUAUGCUUGUAAUAGAGAGUUCCCUAUAUUCAAAUCCCAACCCUAAUAUCAUAUAAAAUAAAGUUUCAUGCUAGUAGAAUAUCUAAAUAUAUUCUCGGUAGUUUUUGGUCAUCAUUGGCAUAACUUUGGGCUAUGCACAAUAACUUUCCAUAUAUUUGGCUUUUAGGUAUAAAUUUAAUUUCUAUAUGAAAUCGUUCAAUAUAUAACUUUUUGCUACAUGAGUCUAAAAGUUAUUAACUUCCAUGCAUGGUGCGACUGGUGGGGUUUCCAAUCACUUGGAAACCAUGUCCAGAUACAUAUGAAGAGAUCAAUAAAACCAACCUUCCACUUCCUACAAUAAUAGUUUACCAAGUGUAUCUUCAAUCCUAAGCCAGUCUGGUAUUCGGUGUUGCAGCUCCUGUAAACUGGCCUCUGCUUGGUCCAGCUCCAGAUAAAGCUGCUCUACUUCAGCUAUCUUCUCAUUCAAGCGCCUACGAAUCACGUCCCUCUUGCCCUCUGCUUGUGCAUACUCAACUAAAGGUUGCACUCCUGUAAACUGGCCUCUGCUUGGUCCAACUCCAGAUAAAGCUGCUCUACUUCAGCUAUCUUCUCAUUCAAGCGCCUACGAAUCACGUCCCUCUUGCCCUCUGCUUGUGCAUACUCAACUAAAGGUUGCACUCCAACAAAUGGGCUUCUUAACCAAUCAACCUUAACCCGCGCCCUUGAAAAGAAGAAGAAUUAGCUGAAUUAAUAUUAUUGAUGUUGAAGUGUGUAUUUAUACAAGGAGGUUUGAGAUCUUUUUCUACAAAUCAGAAAUCAGCUUACCAUAUUCUAGACUAUCCAGCUAUAAGUCAGGAAUUACAAUAGGAAAACUAACAUAUACAGAUCAUCUAUUCUUAAUAUGGAAGAUUUAGGAAGAUUGACUUUCCAACACUCCCCCUCAAGUUGGAGAGUGGAUAUCCUGCACUCCCAACUUGCGAAUCAUAGGAGCAAAAAUCUCCUUUCCCAAUGGUUUAGUUAGAAUGUUUGCAAGUUGGUGUGCUGAGCUCACAUGUCUUGUAAUAAUGGAACCAUCUUGGAUCUUGUCCCUAAUAUAGUGACAAUCCAUCUCAAUAUGUCUAGUACGCUCAUGGAAAACAGGGUUAGCUGCAAUGUGCAACGUUGCCUUGUUGUCACAAUACAGCAAGGCAGGUUCCUGAUGUAAAACAACCAAAUCUUUCAAAAGGUACCGAAGCCAUGUCAACUCACAACAAGCUCUUGUCAUUGCACGAUACUCUGCUUCGGUUGAAGAGAGUGACACUGUUUUCUGUCGCUUUGAUCUCCAAGAAAUCAAUAAAGGUCCAAGGAAUACACAGUAGCCUACAGUGGACCUUCUAGUAAGUGGACAACCUGCCCAAUUAGAAUCACAGUAGGCUCUCAAUCUAAAAUCAUUAUUCGAAGAGAAGAACAGACCCUGACCAGGUGUAUUCUUGAGAUAACGUACAACUCUGAACGCUGCUUCCAUAUGAGCCUUUCUCGGUUGAUGCAUAAACCAGCUUAACACAUGAACUGCAUAAGUGAUAUCUAGCCUCGACAUAGUUAGAUAUAUUAACCUUCCAACCAAUCUCCUAUAACGACCUUGAUCCUUGAGCAAAUCGCUCUUAUCAGACAAUUUCAAUCCUCGUUCCAUAGGUGUAUCAAUAGGGGCAGCGCCCAACAAUCCUGCAUCCUCAAUAAUCUCUAAUGCAUACUUACAUUGGGAAAUAAAAAUCCCAUUUUUAGAAACAGAAACCUCAAUGCCAAGAAAGUAUUUUAAAUCACCCAGAUCUUUGAGAUGAAAAUGACUAUGUAGAAAUUUUUUUGUUGUAGCAAUGCUCACAGGAUCAUUUCCAGUAAUCAGAAUAUUAUCAACAUAUAUCAAGAGGGCAGUAAAGGACUUGCCUUGUUUUCUGGUGAACAAAGAAUAAUCGACUCGAGAUUGUGCAUAACCGACGGAUUGAAUAGCUUCUGAGAACUUGGCGAACCACUGGCGAGAAGCUUGUUUCAGACCAUAGAGUGAUUUAUGAAGGCGACAUACCAAGUUUUCCUCCCCCUGUCGCCGAAGCCCUAGCGACGGAGACAUAUAUAUUUCCUCAUGUAAGUUGCCAUGAAGAAAAGCGUUGUUAACAUCCAUUUGAUGAAGAGACCAGCCACGGGCUGCGGCAAUGCAAGCAAGCAGCGGACAGAUAUGAUCUUGGCGGUGGGGGCAAAGGUAUUCUGAUAAUCGACACCUUCUAAUUAAGUAAAGCCUUUCGCUACCAAUCGUGCUUUGUAACGCUCAAUAGACCCAUCUGAACGGUGUUUAAUUUUAUACACCCAUCGACAGCCAAUCGUUGUCUUACCGGCCGAAAGUGGAGUGAGAAACCAAGUGUCAUUAGCUUGGAGAGCCUGCAAUUCAGAACACAUUGCCUCCUGCCACUCAGGAUGAGCGGCUGCUUCUAAAUAAGACCUGGGUUCUGUGACAGCACUAUGUUGAGCAACAAAAGAUCUAUAUGCAGGCUUAUAUCUGUGAUAAGAAACAUAAUUGGCCAGUGGAUGUGUACCUUUAGUUGGACCUGGAAUCAAGAAAGACGAUUGAUUGGAGGAAACGUGGGAACAAACAUAAUCGUGGAGCUUGAUUGGCGGGGCGAUAUGGCGGCUGGAGCGACGAAGAGGAGUGGCUGGUUUGGGUGAGUGUGUCUCGGCUGGAGGAACGGACGGGAUGGAUGCAAACGGUGGCACCGGAGAAGGCGAUACUAGAGUUGUAGAAGGCGGUGGUGAAGGGUUUGGAUCAAUCUGAGAAGAAGGUUCGAUAAUGAGUUCGGAAUGUCGAGAAAGAGAGGAAAAGUCGUCAUUUUCUGUGGUGGGAGACAGUGUGCUUGUGUGGUUGGAAAGAAGAGGGGAAAGUGCGUGAGAAGUAGAGUCAAGGGAGGAAGAGAUGUCGUGGGCCACCAAGGGGAUUGGGCCAGAAUUAUGGGUGAACGAAGAGAGAGUAGAGUUGGGCUUGAGAGAGACAUAAGGAAAAAUAUCUUCAUGAAAUUUGACAUCUCGGCUAGUAAAGACCUUUUUGGUUGAUAAAUCAAAUAAUUUGUAUGCUUUCUGACCAACAGGAUAACCAAUGAAGAUGGAUGGCAUGGCACGGUAAUCAAAUUUGUGAGAGGUGUGAACAUUGGUGGCAUAGGCUAAACAUCCGAAAACACGGAGAUGGAGUAAGAAGGUGGUUUUGAGUAAAGCAAUUCAAAAGGAGUUUUGAAAGACAAUAUUGGUGAAGGUAACCGAUUGAUGAUGUGUACGGCAAUGAGAGCACACUCCCCCCAAAAUUGAGUGGGAACUUGAGCAUGGAAUUUCAAAGCUCGGGCUACUUGUAAAAUAUGACGAUGUUUGCGUUCCACAACCCCAUUUUGUUAAGGCGUGUAAACACAAGAAUGCUGAAAGAUGACACCAUUAUCUUGAAAAAAAGGAACGAAGUGAGGUAAAUUCUCUACCAUUGUCACUUCGAAAAGUUUUAAUGCGAAAUUCAAAUUGUGUGAACACAUAGCUGAAGAAAUGUUUUAAAAGUGAUUGUGCUUCAUCUUUAUAUCGCAUUAAAAAUAUCCAAGUGAAACGUGUAUAAUCAUCGACAAUAGUGAGAAAGUAAUGGGCACCAAACAGAGAACGGUGUCGAUAACGACCCCAAAUGUCACAAUGAAUAAUCUCAAAAGGUUUUGUAGAAGAAAUAGCACUAGUACCAAAAGGUAAACAACUUUGCUUAGCCAAAGGACAUAUAGGGCAAGCAUUAUUGGACUGAACAAAAAAAUUCAAAAAAUUCUUGGCAAUGAAACUCAAACGAGAAGGUGAUACAUGGCCUAAGCAACUGUGCCAGAGAUCGGUGGAAGAGAUGGCGAGAUUGCAGGCUGGUUGGUUUGUGGAUGAGGAAUGGUUGGUUAAAGAUUUCUCCGUCGCUAGUGCCACCAAAUAGUAUAGUCCGUCACGUUGUUUACCCAAACCAAUCGUCCUCCUCGUAGCCAGAUCCUGCAAAAUACACCAAUAAGGGAAACACGUCACUGAACAAUUUAGACCUCUUGUCAAACGACUAACUGAUAUUAAAUCAACUUUGAAUGUAGGCACAGAUAAGACAUCAUGCAGAUAAUAGACGGAAUUCAGAGGCAAAGUCCCUUUCGUAACAAUAUUCGUUUUUUCUCCACUAGGCAACAAUACGAGCGGUAACGAGCAAUUUUUAUCUUUAUGCAAUAACUUAGAGGAUGAAGUAAUAUGAUCCGUCGCCCCACUAUCAAUAAUCCAAUUGCGAGAAGCGACUUUGGACAAACCUGGCUUUGUUACAGCAUUCACUUUGGAACUAGAGUUUUCAUCUUGGUUAUUAAGAAGUGACAAAAGUUGCUUGAGUUGGGCUUCUGACAAUGCAACUGCAGGUUUCCCUUCAUCUGCCUCAGAAACUUGGUUAGCUGCAGAAAAACUUUUAUUUCGAUUUGAGUUUGAGCCUAAGUUUAUUCUUGCUUUUGGAUGGUCUGGUGGGUAUCCAUGUAGUUGAAAACACUUUUGGACCCAAUGACCCAUAUCUCCACAAUACGAGCACUGGGGGCGUCCUCUUCCAGAACCCAUGCGGCGCCAAUCUUGAUCAAAAAAUGGUCUGCCAUCUUGUCCCUGAGAAGACCGAUUCACCCGGAAAUUUUGAGAACUAGAGGGGUGAUCAGUCGGUUCCAUCCUUCCUGUGUUCGAUCGAUCUAUUCCAUCCUUCCAAGUUGCCGAAGACUUGUCGUUGCUACGCACAGCCAUAGCAGCACUUGCGGCAGAUUCCGCUGCUGCGUUCGUCGAAGUGAGGAGGCGUUGUUUUUCUUCUUGAGAGACAGAGGAGUAUGCUUGGCGGACAGAAGGAAGAGGAUUCAUCAGGAGGAUUUGCCCGUGAAUAGCACUGUAAGAUUCAUUCAAACCCAUCAGAAAUUGCAUCAAUUUUUGUUGAUCUUGUUGUGCCCCAUGUGAUGCAGCGUUGUAGGAAGCCAGUUCAUCCCACAGGCCUUUCAAUUUUGUGUAAUAGGCAGAGACAGAGAGUUGCUCUUUUCAAAGACAAGCAAUAUCUCGCUGAAUUUCAAAGAUGCGAGGCGCAUUGCUCUGAGAGAAUCGCUCACAGAGAUCUUCCCAAACUUCAUGAGCAGUAGAAUAAUAGAUUACACUGUCCGCAAUUUCUGGAUUGAGAGUAUUGACGAUCCAGGAGUGAACCAUGUCGUUACACCGUGACCAAGUCGCAUAACCUUCAGGAUCAAUUUCUUCUGAAGGAGCCUUGAUCGAGCCAUUAACAAAACCCAAUUUGUUCUUGGAAUUUAAAGCUAGAAUCAUAGCCCUUUUCCAAGCUGAAUAAUUGUCUCCAUUCAAAGAUUUGGAAAUCAAAACCAAACCUGGGUGAUCUGAAUGGUGAGUGAAAUAGGGAUUGGAGAGAUCUGCCUUUGAGAAAUCCGUAGGAAUCUCUAAUUUUGCCAUGAUGAUUGAAGAAAAGAGAUGCUAUACGAGAGAUUAGAGUGUAGCAAUAAAUCAGGAUUUUAGUCCUGCUCUGAUACCAUGAAAAGAAGAAGAAUUGGCUGAAUUAAUAUUAUUGAUGUUGAAGUGUGUAUCUAUACAAGGAGGUUUGAGAUCUUUUUCUACAAGUCAGGAAUUAGCUUACCAUAUUCUAGACUAUUCAACUAUAAGUCAGGAAUUACAAUAGGAAAACUAACAUAUACAGAUAAUCUAUUCUUAAUAUGGAAGAUUUAGGAAGAUUGACUUUCCAACACCCUCUCCAAAUCACUCAAUGCUCUAUCAAUGAAGUAGGUGUCUGCACCAGACAGGCUACAGGCAGUAUUCUUCUGCAUCAGCUCCACAAUCUGCAGUAUGGAACCUUUGAUGAUCUCUACAAACUGGGGUGCUGUAAAGGAGCAAUUGGCAGUUACGUCUCCAUAUUUGGUC